UAGGACUGGUCUGCCUCGGGUUGCUCUCUGUAGUGGAAACAAUUUGAAAAGACAGUGUUUUUGGAAAGAAAGACACAAAAGCCAGAAGCAGCCCAGGCUCCCUGGUGGUGUCUCAUAAUGAAAUUCACCUGGCAAAGGACAAAGAGUGUGAUGGGAGUUUGGUUUGGGACAUCUUUAUUUUAAUCAGCAAAGGGGCAGCGAUGGGGUCUGUAUUACCAGGCAAUCUUACUCCCAAGGACUUAUUCUCAGGAGUGUGAUGUCUGAUGGCAAAAGCAGCAGCAACUUCUUACAAUUCAGAGGCUGCUGUGUGGGGAGCCAGCUUGCCAUCGGACUUGGGAUGCAGCAGAUUUGAGGUCUAGAGGAUGGUUCUGGGACCACAGAGAUCGCACGCAACACAGACACCCUCAGUGGCACUGCUUGGUGACAGAAGACGUUCACAGACUCUUCUAGAUACAGAAGGUCAAUGGGCAAAUGGCAAAACACCAGAAAGGCCAAAGAAUGAAGGGGGCAUCAGCCUGGGAGGACUUUUGUUUUUCAUGAAGCUGUGUUUCUGGUAGUGAAAGCACAACAUUUAUGAUGUGUGUAGGACUAAGAUUAGUGUGGGAUUUUCAGAACUGGUGGAGUGCCCCACCUGACCUCUGUUGGAUAUGCAGAACGAGAAUAACGGCAUGUGCACACAGAUUCCAAAACAAACAUGGAGCAUCUCCUUCAAAACUGCCUCUGGUAAGAUUUUUCUGGAAACAUUCCAGGGGCAAAAUGCUUGCCUUGUGUUUCAUGUCCCAUGCAACAUGCACGAUGGAAUUAUUUAUUUGUUGCUGCUUUGCCUUUGUUUGUGCAAACUGACGCCGCAGGGACUUCUUUUGAGGGCAUUUUUCAGCCAAGAAGAUUAUCCCAUAUAAAUACAGUGAAAUAAAUAGAUUUAUCACUAAAAUGACUUCAGGCUGUUCUAUCUAUCUAUCUGUCUAUCUAUCUAAUAUCUGCCUGCCUUUGUA
This is a long non-coding RNA of Anas platyrhynchos (mallard), 992 nucleotides long. RefSeq lists it as uncharacterized. The record is from RefSeq and is a predicted model, not a curated record. Lineage: Eukaryota; Metazoa; Chordata; Aves; Anseriformes; Anatidae.